UUGUGUUUAAUAAAAUUUCUCUCUGGAUCUUCUCGAUCCUUCUCUCAACUACCCCUUUCUCUCUCUUGUUUCUCUCACUAUACUCUCCAUGAUUCUUCAGUUUAAUGUUAACGUGAUCUUCUCGAUCCUUCUCUCAACUACCCCUUUCUCUCUCUUGUUUCUCUCACUAUACUCUCCAUGAUUCUUCAGUAUAAUCUUAACGUUUUCAUGGUAUCAUAGCCUAGAAGAUGAUCCAACUAUACUUUUCUGCAUCUUGUUAUCUUGGUUGAAGUCUCGUUUGAGAUUUUUGGGGGUGUUUUCUGACGUAUGUGGUCGAUGACGAUUCCGAUCUAAAUCGGAUAUUUUUCUGAGACUUUCAUCGCGAUAUCUGAGUAUAUCUUCUUCACUCAAACGUUUUGGGAGAUUUUCUGGUGACUUUUGGGUGAUUUCUCGGUGACUCUCCGGCUUCUGGGUUUCUGGUGGUUGAACCUAAGGUUUUACUGCUAUCCGGUGGCUCGAUCCUCACUCAGUGGAUGUUUUGGGUGACUUUCCGAUAUCCCUGACCAUAUUUCCAGUAAGGUUUUCGACGGUUGCACCUAGGGUUUUGGACCUAUGGUCUUCUGUGUUGAUUGAAGGCCAAUCUUCUCCGGUCACGAAAAGGAGGGUAACCCUGUCCUUAUUUUGAGUAUUGUAUGCUUUGUGUGUGACUAUCUAAUUCCGUAUGUGAGUAUCUGGUUCCCUUAUAUUUUGCUUGUUGAAACUGUUUUUCUUUCAAGCUGGUUCAUUAAUCAUGGCUUCUAACAACACUGCUGGUACCUCCUCCUUGGUAGACUCUACCAGCCCCCUCUUUGUAUACUCUUCUGAUGUCCCUGGGGUCUCUCUUGUCCCCACUCCCUUCUCGGGUAGUGGUUAUGGGGGUUGG
RNAcentral lists this long non-coding RNA (901 nucleotides) under Nicotiana benthamiana. RNAcentral describes it as "long non-coding RNA (NBEN_LNC030413)". The record is from RNAcentral. Lineage: Eukaryota; Viridiplantae; Streptophyta; Magnoliopsida; Solanales; Solanaceae.